UAAUAGUUGUCGAAAAUAUCGUUUAUAAUUUCGAAUUAUAAGUUAGCAUGUGCUACUAUUUG
Molecule: transfer RNA, 62 nt
Filed under: Brentisentis yangtzensis
Lineage: Eukaryota; Metazoa; Acanthocephala; Palaeacanthocephala; Echinorhynchida; Leptorhynchoididae
Description: tRNA-Arg
Source: RNAcentral